UUUAAGUGCAACCAUAAGUUUUUACACCCAAUUUUGAUCGUCCGUCUUAUUUAAUUUUUUUUAUAAUUAGUAUUUUUAUUAUUAUGAGAUAAUAAAACAUUAAUAAUACUUUAUACAUAACUUAUGUUUUAAUUUUUUUAAAUGAGAUGGAUGAUCAAAAUUAUGCACGAAAAAUUCUGACUGCACUUAAA
Molecule: non-coding RNA, 191 nt
Organism: Oryza glaberrima (African rice)
Lineage: Eukaryota; Viridiplantae; Streptophyta; Magnoliopsida; Poales; Poaceae
Source: Rfam